UUCACAGUAGGCGUGGUCGCUGUCCGCUUUUUAAGCGGAUUAUCAUGGGUUCGAUUCUCAUCUGUUACA
RNAcentral lists this transfer RNA (69 nucleotides) under Culex quinquefasciatus (southern house mosquito). It matches the Rfam family "tRNA". Rfam says of the family: Transfer RNA (tRNA) molecules are approximately 80 nucleotides in length. Their secondary structure includes four short double-helical elements and three loops (D, anti-codon, and T loops). Lineage: Eukaryota; Metazoa; Arthropoda; Insecta; Diptera; Culicidae. The record is from Rfam by way of RNAcentral.